This is a long non-coding RNA of Mauremys reevesii (Reeves's turtle), 475 nucleotides long. RefSeq lists it as uncharacterized. The record is from RefSeq and is a predicted model, not a curated record. Lineage: Eukaryota; Metazoa; Chordata; Testudines; Geoemydidae. The transcript has 2 exons.
CAACAAAGUAUUUUUUCUGCAGCUCUCAGAACAAAGAGCUAUUAAAAAGUGACCUUACAUUAAAAAUUGGUACAGAAAAAAAUUAAAAUAUGGACAUAAGAUUAUGUUGAAUUUGUUCUACAUAAUAGCUAGGUAAAUGGUUGAAGACAGAAGACUUAUUAUAGAUUUUACAUCCAGCCCAUGAGGAUUUGGACCGAUUCCAUUGAGCAGGUUCAGGUCAGCUAACUCCUUUCCUUCAAAGCAUCCUGGGUGUCUCUGAGCAUCAUUGCAAGCUUGUUCUGGCAGUAAGCCAGGCUUCAAAAGCCUUUCCCUGUGCAGUCACUGACUCACUAAUGGGCAACUGCAGGCUUUCUGAUUUUCCUUUCGUUUCAUGUGUUCAUUUGACAUAAAUUUAAUUAAACCAAAUCUGGUGUUAAAGCAAGAAGAGAUAAAAGUGAUAUGUCGCAAAUUAAAGAACUGUGAAAGAUACAGGAAA